UCUUCCACAAUGGACGGAAGUCUGAUGGAGCAACGCCGCGUGAGCGAAGAAGGUUUUCGGAUCGUAAACCUCUGUUGUAAGGGAAGAACACGUACGGGAGUCACGGCCCGUACCUUGCCGGUACCUUAUCAGUAAGCCACGGCUAACUACGUGCCAGCAGCCGAGGUAAUACGUAGGUGGCAAUCGUUGUCCGGAAUUAUUGGGAGUAAAGUGAGCGCAGGCGGUCCUUUAAGUCUGAUGUGAAAGCCCACGGCUCAACCGUGGAGGGUCAUUGGAAACUGGAGGACUUGAGUACAGAAGAGGAAAGCGGAAUUCCACGUGUAGCGGUGAAAUGCGUAGAGAUGUGGAGGAACACCAGUGGCGAAGGCGGCUUUCUGGUCUGUAACUGACGCUGAGGCGCGAAAGCGUGGGGAGCAAACA
Molecule: ribosomal RNA, 420 nt
Filed under: uncultured bacterium
Lineage: Bacteria
Description: partial 16S ribosomal RNA
Rfam family: Bacterial small subunit ribosomal RNA
Source: RNAcentral